AUUGAUUUUUAAUUUAAUUUUUUUUUUUAUUAAAUUAAGUUUUUUAAUAAAUUUUUAUUUCUAAAUUUUUAAAUAGGCUUUAAUUUUAUUUUUAAAAAAAUUUUUUAGUACCUUUUGUAUCAGGGCUAUUCAAUUUUUUUUAUKUAWAWAWUUWUSAARUAAUUAAAAGGUCAAUUWAUNAAAWAAUUUUAUUUAUGUUAUAAAAUAAUUUAAUUUAUUAAUUGUAAAUAUAUUUUAUUCGAUUUUAACUAUAUCUGGUUAUUUGAGAUUAAAUUAAAUUUUUAAUCUGUUAUUUCAGUUUAUAUUUAAUAAGGGAUAAUCUUUAUUAAUUUUUAUAAUUUAUGUUUAWAUAUUAUUUUUAUUAGUUUUWAAAUUUUAAAUUUAGUUAUUAAUAUAUUUAAAUAUAAAGUUGUUAAUUURUUUAAAUUUAUUUUUUUAUCARUKUUAUUUWUUUAAUUWAWUUAUUUUUUUAAUUUUKAUUUUAUUAGUAAAAUUUUAUAUUAAAAUUAAAUGAAUUCAACAUAUUUAGUUUCCAACUGUUUAUCAAAAACAUUUUUUUUAGAUUAUAUUGAAAAUACAUUCUGCCCUAUGAAUAUUUAAAUGGCUGCAGUAUUUUAACUGUACAAAGGUAGCAUAAUAAUUAGUCUUUUAAUUGAGGACUGGAAUGAAAGAUUAAAUGAGAAAUUAGUUUUAUUAGUUUUAGGUUUUAAAUUUUAUAUUUAGGUAAAAAAGCCUAAUUAAAUUUUUGGGACGAAAAGACCCUAUAGAACUUUACUAAGUAAAAAAUUAAUUAUUUUUUAAUUUUAUAUUAAUUAAAAUUUCUUAGUUUUAUUGGGGUGAUAAUUAAAUUAAUCUUUAAUUAAUUUUUUCAUUAAUUUAUGUUUUUUAUUGAAUUAAUUUAUUUAAUUAAAAGAAAAAGUUACCUUAGGGAUAACAGCGUAAUUUUUAUGGAGAGUUCAUAUCUAUAUAUAAGUUUGCGACCUCGAUGUUGAAUUAAGAUAAAUUAAGGAAGAAGUAUUUUUUAUAUUAAGUCUGUUCGACUUUUAAAUUCUUACAUGAUUUGAGUUCAAACCGGUGUAAGCCAGGUUGGUUUCUAUCUUWWWKYWWWWAUWWWAAU
Molecule: ribosomal RNA, 1117 nt
Filed under: Farynala dextra
Lineage: Eukaryota; Metazoa; Arthropoda; Insecta; Hemiptera; Cicadellidae
Description: 16S ribosomal RNA
Source: RNAcentral